UAGAGUUUGAUCCUGGCUCAGAACGAACGCUGGCGGCAGGCUUAACACAUGCAAGUCGAGCGCCCCGCAAGGGGAGCGGCAGACGGGUGAGUAACGCGUGGGAACCUACCUUUUGCUACGGAAUAACUCAGGGAAACUUGUGCUAAUACCGUAUGUGCCCUUCGGGGGAAAGAUUUAUCGGCAAAGGAUGAGCCCGCGUUGGAUUAGCUAGUUGGUGGGGUAAAGGCCCACCAAGGCGACGAUCCAUAGCUGGUCUGAGAGGAUGAUCAGCCACACUGGGACUGAGACACGGCCCAGACUCCUACGGGAGGCAGCAGUGGGGAAUAUUGGACAAUGGGCGCAAGCCUGAUCCAGCCAUGCCGCGUGAGUGAUGAAGGCCCUAGGGUUGUAAAGCUCUUUCAACGGUGAAGAUAAUGACGGUAACCGUAGAAGAAGCCCCGGCUAACUUCGUGCCAGCAGCCGCGGUAA
RNAcentral lists this ribosomal RNA (468 nucleotides) under uncultured Burkholderiaceae bacterium. RNAcentral's name for it is "bacterial SSU rRNA". It matches the Rfam family "Bacterial small subunit ribosomal RNA", at positions 1 to 523 of the family's 1533-position model. Lineage: Bacteria; Pseudomonadati; Pseudomonadota; Betaproteobacteria; Burkholderiales; Burkholderiaceae. The record is from RNAcentral.